UACGAGUGCCCCGAGCGUUAUCCGGAAUCAUUGGGCGUAAAGGGUGUGUAGGUGGCAGUGUUAGUCUAUCGUUAAAUCCCGGAGCUUAACUCCGGACCUGCGAUAGAUACGGCACAGCUAGAGGAUGCGAGGGAUGUAUGGAACUCAUGGAGUAGGGGUGAAAUGCGUAGAUAUCGAGAGGAACACCAGUGGCGAAGGCGAGUCCCUGGACGAUACCUGACACUGAGGCACGAAAGCGUGGGGAGCAAACAGG
Molecule: ribosomal RNA, 253 nt
Filed under: uncultured bacterium
Lineage: Bacteria
Description: partial 16S ribosomal RNA
Rfam family: Bacterial small subunit ribosomal RNA
Source: RNAcentral